Molecule: long non-coding RNA, 411 nt
Filed under: Anser brachyrhynchus (Pink-footed goose)
Lineage: Eukaryota; Metazoa; Chordata; Aves; Anseriformes; Anatidae
Description: lncRNA (ENSABRG00000020107.1)
Source: RNAcentral
CUGGUGUUCAGUUGUCUUUCCAGAAGGAUGCAAAUCUCCCAUAGAUUCUGUCUCCCUCAGCAAGUGUCUUACACGUCCCAGUGUGUCUGGACUGGCACUAGGGGACUACACAGAGGCAGAUGAACCCUUCCCAUAAUGCUUGAUCAGGUGGAGCUAAAGCACUUGUCUGCAGUACCUUGGCUUGUGGGAUGGAGGAAAGCAAUCUAAGGAAAAAAAAGAGAAUCAAGAGGUUGCUGGUGGCCAGUGGACCAGCUGCACACCAAUGUCAACUAGCACCUGGGAUAAGAUUAUGGCUACCUGGAAGAUAACAUACUAGAUCCUACAAUGACUUCCUUAUUGGACAACCUCAUUUCCACAGUGGAUCUGCAUAAAGAGUCUUUCCCCACAUCUUUGAAUUAAGCAGUAAUAAAA